This 402-nucleotide ribosomal RNA is filed under the name Rhodobacteraceae bacterium S124. RNAcentral's name for it is "bacterial SSU rRNA". It matches the Rfam family "Bacterial small subunit ribosomal RNA", at positions 29 to 478 of the family's 1533-position model. The record is from RNAcentral. Lineage: Bacteria; Pseudomonadati; Pseudomonadota; Alphaproteobacteria; Rhodobacterales; Paracoccaceae.
AACGAACGCUGGCGGCAGGCCUAACACAUGCAAGUCGAGCGCACCUUCGGGUGAGCGGCGGACGGGUUAGUAACGCGUGGGAACGUGCCCUUCUCUACGGAAUAGCCUCGGGAAACUGAGAGUAAUACCGUAUACGCCCUUCGGGGGAAAGAUUUAUCGGAGAAGGAUCGGCCCGCGUUAGAUUAGGUAGUUGGUGGGGUAAUGGCCUACCAAGCCUACGAUCUAUAGCUGGUUUAAGAGGAUGAUCAGCAACACUGGGACUGAGACACGGCCCAGACUCCUACGGGAGGCAGCAGUGGGGAAUCUUGGACAAUGGGCGCAAGCCUGAUCCAGCCAUGCCGCGUGAGUGAUGAAGGCCUUAGGGUCGUAAAGCUCUUUCGCCAGGGAUGAUAAUGACAGUAC